Oncorhynchus mykiss (rainbow trout) is the source of this 1171-nucleotide non-coding RNA. The record is from RefSeq and is a predicted model, not a curated record. NCBI's taxonomy places the organism in Eukaryota, Metazoa, Chordata, Actinopteri, Salmoniformes, Salmonidae.
ACAACAGAGGGUGAGUCAUGAAGACCAAUAGGAUCCUAUUGUGCAUUUAAACUUGAUAUUAGCUCAGAGUGAUCAAAGCAACUACAUCCAUUUGAUACUGUACGAUGACACUGACAGAUGUUUGCACAAGGCUGGAAUACAGCAGAUAUGUUUCUGGAGAUCCUGGAUUCAAAAAAGCAAUAAUUUCCAUGCAAAUACUUAUUUUCCAUAGAUUUCCAUUAUAUUAAAGAGGAUACCUCGAAAAAUCUCCACUGCAAGCACUGGUUUGGCAAAACAUUUGGGACAUUGCAGCACUGACAACAUUAAGCCACAGACAGAGUACUCUGUCUAGGAGAGAAGAAAACUCUUCAGAUACAGCCUGGGUUGUGAUAGACUGCAAGAAACCAAGCAUGACCCUCUCCAUUAGAUAACCCAGCAGUACAGACCGAGUGACUUCCCCAAUAGCCAGAAACUGACCAGUUUAGCAAGUGUAGAAAAGAGAUGUGAAGUGUUGCUGCCUGGUCACCGCUGUAGCGUGGCAGCAGUGAAGCACUGGUGGUAAGUACUGAGCAGUAAUCUGGAGGUGAAAGAAACGCACACCUGUUUAGGCGAGGUGCUGGCUAGCGGAGUAGAACACUAGGAGCUCAGAUGCAAUAAUUUAAUAACCUAAUAACCAACGUUUCGACAGACAAGCUGUCUUCAUCAGGGUUUAAUGAGCAGUACUCAGGGAGAAGGAAAGGAAAUAUGCUCUGCUGUCUGCUCUAAGACUUGGAAGAUAGGAUGGCAGGCCCUGCCAACACAGCUGUCCGGAUUGCCAGUCACUCAGCGAAUGAUGCUCCCCGCUCGCCCACAUCACAGAACCUGCAAAUCUUUCAACAUGGCAGCCGGGCACACCAGGACACAAAGCUGUAAACGAACCCUGGAAAGACAGGCUCCAGCUCAGUAGUGUGCUGGUGGAGUGUGAGGGCUUUACACAUCACUGUCAGGGAGAGGAUGAGAUUGGUAAAAUCACCCUUUCUUUUAAAUGCUAUGGAAUUUCUUUGUCAAUGCCUUGACUGAGUCAGGAAUGUACAUUUUGAUGAAGUCUUAUAGACCCAUUUCAUUGUAAAAGGCCCAGUGCAGUUUCCUGUGUUUUAUGUAUAUUUCCACACUAUGAGUUUGAAAUAAUACAGUGAAAUUGUGAAAAUUAUGA